UGGCCAAUACAAACGUUUGUCAUGUGCGGGGAUCGUACCCGCAACCGCCAGCGCAACAGCCACAAACCAGCGGUGUGACAGUUGCGCCAACGAAUCUUCAAUAUUGAGUUUGUA
Long non-coding RNA from Melitaea cinxia (Glanville fritillary), 114 nucleotides. RefSeq lists it as uncharacterized. The transcript is spliced from 3 exons. NCBI's taxonomy places the organism in Eukaryota, Metazoa, Arthropoda, Insecta, Lepidoptera, Nymphalidae. The record is from RefSeq and is a predicted model, not a curated record.